AACGCGAAGAACCUUACCUACUCUUGACAUCCCUGGAAGUGAGCUGAGAGGCUCAUGUGCCGCAAGGAACCAGGAGACAGGUGCUGCAUGGCUGUCGUCAGCUCGUGUUGUGAGAUGUUGGGUUAAGUCCCGUAACGAGCGCAACCCUUGUCCUUAGUUACCAGCACGUAAAGGUGGGAACUCUAAGGAGACUGCUGGUGAAGAACCGGAGGAAGGCGGGGACGACGUCAAGUCAUCAUGGCCUUUAUGAGUAGGGCUACACACGUGCUACAAUGGGGUGAACAGAGGGCAGCGAACCUGUGAAGGGGAGCCAAUCCCAGAAAACACCUCGUAGUCCAGAUUGAAGUCUGCAACUCGACUUCAUGAAGCCGGAAUCGCUAGUAAUCGCGAAUCAGCAUUGUCGCGGUGAAUACGUUCCCGGGCUUGUACACACCGCGUGUCU
Molecule: ribosomal RNA, 442 nt
Filed under: uncultured bacterium
Lineage: Bacteria
Description: bacterial SSU rRNA
Rfam family: Bacterial small subunit ribosomal RNA
Source: RNAcentral